Molecule: long non-coding RNA, 1543 nt
Organism: Hypomesus transpacificus
Lineage: Eukaryota; Metazoa; Chordata; Actinopteri; Osmeriformes; Osmeridae
Exons: 7
Source: RefSeq, a predicted model, not a curated record
UGUGUCUAAUAUCAUUGGACAUUUUCGUCUGUCUAUCACACAAAGAACGUCAGCGAAUAAGAACAAAACUAGAAUGCUGAUGAUUUCAAUGGCGAGUCAUUUGCCAACAUUUGAGAUCUAUCCAGUGUGUCCAGCUCAUGUUUAGUUUAGCAUGGCGAAUACACCAACAUUGCAGCCGGACGAGCUACAGAACCAAAUCAAGGAUGCGGCUCAAAACCUGUUCUCUCUGCUGGCCAGACAUACCAGCAGCCCAACCGCAUCCCUGGUGGACACCCCCUCCCAAUCACUUCCUGGCCCUGCAUUUAGUGGUGGCCGUGGUGCGAGCCCAAGCCUGCAUCUAGUACACCAGCCGCCACCUACUCACCACCUAGUCCCAGCUGGUGGCCGUGGUGCGAGCCCAAGCCUGCAUCUAGUACACCAGCCGCCACCUACUCACCACCUAGUCCCAGCUGGUGGCCGUGGUGCGAGCCCAAGCCUGCAUCUAGUACACCAGCCUCCACCUACUCACCACCUAGUCCCAGCUGGUGGCCGUGGCCGUGGCCAUCCAUCAGUACAGGAGGAGAUGGAGAUGUUAUAACAGAUUGAACAGCAUUGUUUAUCUUCAUAUGUUGUCUCCAUGUAAACUGUUAUCAAUUCUUGAAAUUGCUUGAAUCUUUACUCAGAUCCUUUCCAUACUACGGAAAGCGGAGGAAGGGGGUGCCUGGAAGGAGGCCUCCGCCAUCAAAUAAGAUUCAACCAGUGAAAUCAGGUUGCAGUUCAUACUGAUGGCGGAGGUCACGGACAAGACUCCAAAACCAAAACAGGAGACCCAACUCCUUGAGGCGGGCCUUGGGAGAAGGACCAUUAAUAUGCCGGAGAGAGCUGAAUAUGAAGAGAUUGUCGGCCUUCUUGAAGACACCUAUCCGAAACUAAAGCUGUUAUCGGGGGGAUGGCUGUUCUAUAAAACGGCAGGUGGUAGUGGACAGAGAAAGCUGUCCGUGAUACCUUCGGAAACAGAAGGGUAUAAUGCCACCAUGCUGAAAGCGGCAACCAGGAACGGAAAGAACAUUCUUUACAUAGUACCUUUACAAAACAGUCUGGACACAUCUCCACUGCCACACACAUUACCAGAAUUUUCAAGAAUGCCUAAAUCAAUUUGCAACACAUGUGGCAAGACCAUGCCUCUUCCAUUCCUGCCUAUGCAUAUUGAACAGUGCAUGAAAGAGAUCAUUGAGGUAGACUACAUUAAGGAGGUAACUGAAGAGGAGGUCACUGAAGAGGCUACACCGGCAUGGAAUGUAGAAAAUGAGAGAUGUCCAACAUGUGGAAAAUAAUUCUUAAAAGCCUUCAUAGAGCUCCAUGCCAGCUCCUGUGGUGACAUUCUGAUCAUUGAUGCGGAUGACAAAGAAGAUCCUUCUGCAUCUCCGGAAGGCGGUAUAUUAAGAAGAACUGUGGCAGGAGGAGAUAGAGAGCAGAGAGCUGCCGUGGGAGGUCCCAGUGUGGUCCAGAGAGGAGGAGCUGCAGCGGGAGGUCCCAGUACGGUCCAGAGAGGAGGAGCUGCAGC